AAUAGAUACCCCGGUAGUCCACGCUGUAAACGAUGAGUGCUAGGUGUAGGUAGGCUCAUACCCAUCUGUGCCGAAGCUAACGCAUUAAGCACUCCGCCUGGGGAGUACGGUCGCAAGACUGAAACUCAAAGGAAUUGACGGGGGCCCGCACAAGCAGUGGAGCAUGUGGUUUAAUUCGAAGCAACGCGAAGAACCUUACCAGGACUUGACAUCCCAUAGACCAGUCUAGAGAUAGACUUUCCCUUCGGGGCUGUGGUGACAGGUGGUGCAUGGUUGUCGUCAGUUCGUGUCGUGAGAUGUUGGGUUAAGUCCCGCAACGAGCGCAACCCUUACUUUGUGUUGCCAGCAUUCAGUUGGGCACUCACAAGGGACUGCCGCCGAUAAGGCGGAGGAAGGUGGGGAUGACGUCAAAUCAUCAUGCCCCUUAUGUCCUGGGCUACACACGUGCUACAAUGGGCGGUACAACGGGAUGCGAAGCCGCGAGGUGGAGCCAAACCCUGAAAACCGUUCGUAGUUCGGA
RNAcentral lists this ribosomal RNA (520 nucleotides) under uncultured bacterium. Its description in RNAcentral is "bacterial SSU rRNA". It matches the Rfam family "Bacterial small subunit ribosomal RNA", at positions 777 to 1297 of the family's 1533-position model. The record is from RNAcentral.